RNAcentral lists this ribosomal RNA (460 nucleotides) under uncultured bacterium. RNAcentral describes it as "partial 16S ribosomal RNA". It matches the Rfam family "Bacterial small subunit ribosomal RNA", at positions 338 to 795 of the family's 1533-position model. The record is from RNAcentral.
CCUACGGGUGGCAGCAGUGAGGAAUAUUGGUCAAUGGACGAGAGUCUGAACCAGCCAAGUAGCGUGAAGGAUGACUGCCCUACGGGUUGUAAACUUCUUUUAUAUGAGAAUAAAAUGUUCCACGUGUGGGAUUUUGUAUGUACCAUACGAAUAAGGUUCGGCUAACUCCGUGCCAGCAGCCGCGGUAAUACGGAGGAUCCGAGCGUUAUCCGGAUUUAUUGGGUGUAAAGUGAGCGUAGGUGGAGUGAUAAGUCAGUUGUGAAAGUUUGGGGCUCAACCGGAGAAUGGCAGUUGAAACUGGGAGUCUUGAGUACAGUAGAGGUGGGCGGAAUUCGGGGUGUAGCGGUGAAAUGCUUAGAUAUCGAGAAGAACUCUGAUGGCGAAGGCAGGUUACUGGACUUCAACUGACGCUGAGGCACGAAGGUGAGGGUAUCAAACAGGAUUAGAUACCCGAGUAGUC